This 1149-nucleotide ribosomal RNA is filed under the name Bacillus siamensis. RNAcentral describes it as "bacterial SSU rRNA". It matches the Rfam family "Bacterial small subunit ribosomal RNA", at positions 62 to 1244 of the family's 1533-position model. The record is from RNAcentral. Lineage: Bacteria; Bacillati; Bacillota; Bacilli; Caryophanales; Bacillaceae.
UCGAGCGGACAGAUGGGAGCUUGCUCCCUGAUGUUAGCGGCGGACGGGUGAGUAACACGUGGGUAACCUGCCUGUAAGACUGGGAUAACUCCGGGAAACCGGGGCUAAUACCGGAUGGUUGUUUGAACCGCAUGGUUCAAACAUAAAAGGUGGCUUCGGCUACCACUUACAGAUGGACCCGCGGCGCAUUAGCUAGUUGGUGAGGUAACGGCUCACCAAGGCAACGAUGCGUAGCCGACCUGAGAGGGUGAUCGGCCACACUGGGACUGAGACACGGCCCAGACUCCUACGGGAGGCAGCAGUAGGGAAUCUUCCGCAAUGGACGAAAGUCUGACGGAGCAACGCCGCGUGAGUGAUGAAGGUUUUCGGAUCGUAAAGCUCUGUUGUUAGGGAAGAACAAGUACCGUUCGAAUAGGGCGGUACCUUGACGGUACCUAACCAGAAAGCCACGGCUAACUACGUGCCAGCAGCCGCGGUAAUACGUAGGUGGCAAGCGUUGUCCGGAAUUAUUGGGCGUAAAGGGCUCGCAGGCGGUUUCUUAAGUCUGAUGUGAAAGCCCCCGGCUCAACCGGGGAGGGUCAUUGGAAACUGGGGAACUUGAGUGCAGAAGAGGAGAGUGGAAUUCCACGUGUAGCGGUGAAAUGCGUAGAGAUGUGGAGGAACACCAGUGGCGAAGGCGACUCUCUGGUCUGUAACUGACGCUGAGGAGCGAAAGCGUGGGGGAGCGAACAGGAUUAGAUACCCUGGUAGUCCACGCCGUAAACGAUGAGUGCUAAGUGUUAGGGGGUUUCCGCCCCUUAGUGCUGCAGCUAACGCACUAAGCACUCCGCCUGGGGGAGUACGGUCGCAGACUGAAACUCAAAGGAAUUGACGGGGGCCCGCACAAGCGGUGGAGCAUGUGGUUUAAUUCAAGCAACGCGAACAACCUUACCAGGUCUUGACAUCCUCUGACAAUCCUAGAGAUAGGACUUCCCCUUCGGGGGCAAAGUGACACGUGGUGCAUGGUAACCCUUGAUCUUAGUUGCCAGCAUUCAGUUGGGCACUCUAAGGUGACUGCCGGUGACAAACCGGAGGAAGGUGGGGAUGACGUCAAAUCAUCAUGCCCCUUAUGACCUGGGCUACACACGUGCUACAAUGGACAGAACAAAG